RNAcentral lists this ribosomal RNA (480 nucleotides) under uncultured bacterium. Its description in RNAcentral is "partial 16S ribosomal RNA". It matches the Rfam family "Bacterial small subunit ribosomal RNA", at positions 28 to 507 of the family's 1533-position model. The record is from RNAcentral.
GAUGAACGCUAGCGGCAUGCCUAACACAUGCAAGUCGAGCGAGAGGUUACCUUCGGGUUACCAAAACGGGCGCCCGGGUGCGUAACAGUUAUACAAUCUGCCUUUCCCAUAGGGAUGGCGCGAAGAAAUUUGGAUUAAUGCCUAAUGGGCUAUAAAAGCUUCAUCGUUUUUAUUUUGAAUCUAAGAUGCUAUAAGAUGAGUAUGCGUUCUAUUAGCUAGUUGGAGAGGUAACGGCUCCCCAAGGCGACGAUAGAUAGGGGUUCUGAGAGGGAUGUCACCGACACUGGGACUGAGAUACGGACCAGACUCGUACGGGAGGCAGCAGUGAGGAAGAUUGGGAAAUGGUUGUAAGACUGAUCCAGCGAGGGCGUGUGCAGGAUGAAGGUCUUAUGGAUCGUAGUCUGCUUUUGUAAGCGAAGAAUAAGGAGUACGGGUAAUUUAAUGACGGUACCUUACGAAUAAGCAACGGCUAACUACGUG